ACUCCUACGGGAGGCAGCAGUGGGGAAUAUUGCACAAUGGGCGCAAGCCUGAUGCAGCAACGCCGUGUGAGUGAAGAAGGUUUUCGGAUCGUAAAACUCUGUCCUAAGGGAAGAAACAAAUGACGGUACCUUAGGAGGAAGCCCCGGCUAACUACGUGCCAGCAGCCGCGGUAAUACGUAGGGGCAAGCGUUAUCCGGAAUCACUGGGCGUAAAGGGUGCGUAGGCGGCUUAGCAAGCCAGGGGUGAAAGGCAUUGGCUCAACCAAUGUAAGCCUUUGGAACUGUUAAGCUUGAGUGCAGGAGAGGUAAGUGGAAUUCCUAGUGUAGAGGUGAAAUUCGUAGAUAUUAGGAGGAACACCAGUGGCGAAGGCGACUUACUGGACUGUAACUGACGCUGAUGCACGAAAGCGUGGGUAGCGAACAGGAUUAGAUACCCGUGGUAGCACAGA
Molecule: ribosomal RNA, 449 nt
Filed under: uncultured bacterium
Lineage: Bacteria
Description: bacterial SSU rRNA
Rfam family: Bacterial small subunit ribosomal RNA
Source: RNAcentral